Amphiprion ocellaris (clown anemonefish) is the source of this 1539-nucleotide long non-coding RNA. NCBI's taxonomy places the organism in Eukaryota, Metazoa, Chordata, Actinopteri, Pomacentridae. The record is from Ensembl.
GUUCUUAAAGACAAUAUUAGAAGUUUAACUGAUAUAUGUGUAAUCACUUUAGAUAUUUUUAGGUUUUUUGGGGAAGGUUUUUACUCAUUUUUUUUGGAAAAUAUUGCCAAUUUUGGGUGAUUUUUUAAAAAUGAAACUUUUAGGGAAACUUUUAAGGAAUUAUUGGAAUUUUCUUCCUGAACGUUUUGCAAAUUUUCAGACAUUUUGGGGAAUUUUUUGGCUGAUUUUUUGGUGCCCGUAAAUGAGGACAACACGAGGAUUAAAUGGGAUCUAACAUGUUGAAUAAUGUUCUUUAGAGGUGCUUGAAGGUGGAUUUUGUUCCGUUUGCACAGAGCAAAGGUCCAGUCAUUUUUCUAAACAACUGUUUUUUUUUUGUCAGAUAUCAACAAUAAUAUUUAAAUUUCCGCAUAACAACCUGACAAAGCUAAUGUUCAUGCAUUUGCAAAAUCAGCUCAGAAAAGAGCACAAAGUCAACUUUUUGCCAACUUUUAGACUAAAUCUGACAAGCAGGAGCUUCGAUCAGCAAAAAGACUUCAAACAGGUCAAACAAUUUCAUCUUAAUUAAUGUCUUUAUAUCCUAAAACCUGCUGGGAAAAGACUGCCAAGCCGACUUCUUUCCAACAGUCUGACAAAAUUAAAGAAAACAGGAACUUCAGUCAUAAUAAAGACUGAAAACAGGCACAACAGUUUAAUCUGUCUCAAAUGCAGGUGUUUGAGCCAUUUCUACUCUAGUAUCUCCAAAAGGCAUCUACUAGCACCUAUAAAUGAGAUUUAACAUGUUGACUAAUGGGCUUUAAAGGUACUUGAAGGUGGAUUUUGUUCCUUUACACAUUUAUUCUCUAAACUAAGCAGAAGACAGUUUCCUUUAGAUGUGAUUAGAAGCAUUAAAACGCGCCCAGAAGAACCUGACGAAGCUAAUGUCCAUAUCUUCCCUAAACCUGCUGGGAUAAAACGGCACAAAGCCCCCGUCUUGUGAUCUUCCGGUUUACGAGCCACUUGCGUUGAGUUUCAUCAUGUUCCUGACGAUCAGCGCCUUAAAGAAGGGAAGGAAAAGCUCUGAAAACGCUGCUCUGAAGGAUUAUCAGAGGUGUCAGUGUUUUCCUCUCAGAGUGAGAUUAAUUACCGCUAACUCUCCAGAUUUAAGGUCAGGAGCUGCGUUUUCAGAAGUAUUGAUUGUGUAUCGGUGUUCUCCAGAGUUAGAAUCCUCCAGAGGAACUCUGGUGGAGAUGAACCUGCCUGAACUGGCCGAUCAGCAGGGUUUGGCUCAGACGCUCAGUUACUCAACAGAGUCCAAACCUCACACGAUGUUGUUGCACAAGAACCUCCACACACACAAACACACCAUAAUAAGCCAACUUUAGUGAUGCGUAAACACAUGUAGACAUGUUAGCGACACCUCAAACACAAACCGACCAAGCGGAGACGUGGACAGCAUGUUUCUGUAACUUUAAGGUGCCUAACGAUGGUAGAAGUGAUGAUGUUGGUGUAAGAAUGACUAUAUAUAAAUAUAUAUAUAUGUAAUAAACUGAUUAAUCCUCA